GUGUGCUCACUUCGGCCGCACACACACUAACACUGAAACAGGAUGGCGAAGAGGAGCGUGGCCCCUGUGCAGAGAUGACACGCAGAGUCUUGAAGUGUUCCAUAUUUAA
Ailuropoda melanoleuca (giant panda) is the source of this 109-nucleotide small nuclear RNA. NCBI's taxonomy places the organism in Eukaryota, Metazoa, Chordata, Mammalia, Carnivora, Ursidae. The record is from Ensembl.